CGACCCCAGGUCAGGCGGGACUACCCGCUGAAUUUAAGCAUAUCAAUAAGC
This 51-nucleotide ribosomal RNA is filed under the name Convolvulus canariensis. Its description in RNAcentral is "partial 26S ribosomal RNA". The record is from RNAcentral. Lineage: Eukaryota; Viridiplantae; Streptophyta; Magnoliopsida; Solanales; Convolvulaceae. RNAcentral also lists the same sequence under 9 other names.